UCUACUCUAAAUUAAAAAAAGUUGAAGUUAACAGAAAAUUCUCGUAUAGAAGAAAGGGCUGACAAUCCGAAAUCCCCCGUUGCAAGAGGCAUUAAAAUUAUUGCUUUGUCAGAAGAAGACUGACAAAGAAUUUACGAGCCCUGGAAGAAUACUAUCAUAGUGAAGCUAGUGGCGCUAUUUAUGAGUCGGGUUGUUUGGGAAUGCAGCCCAAAUCGGGCGGUAAAUUCCGUCCAAGGCUAAAUAUGGGCAAGAGACCGAUAGCGAACAAGUACCGCGCGGGAAAGAUUAAAAGAACUUUGAAAAGAGAGUCAAAGAGUACUUAAAAUUCUCGGGAGGGAAGCGGAUGGGGGCCGGCGAAGCGCCCCGGUCGAAUGUGGAACGGUGUUGAGCCGGUACGCCGAUCGACUCGGGGCGUAGACCAGCGUGGAUUGAGGGGCGGCCAAAGCCCGGGUUUUUGACACGCUCGUGGAAUGUCGUCUCCUUGAUUGUGGUAGGCAGCGCACGCCUCUGGCGUGCUUUGGCAUCUGCGCACUCUGGACGCUGGCUUGUGGGCUCCCUAUUCGACCCGUUUUGAAAUACAG
This 581-nucleotide non-coding RNA is filed under the name Nicotiana sylvestris (wood tobacco). RNAcentral describes it as "Eukaryotic large subunit ribosomal RNA". It matches the Rfam family "Eukaryotic large subunit ribosomal RNA", at positions 1 to 664 of the family's 3401-position model. The record is from Rfam by way of RNAcentral. Lineage: Eukaryota; Viridiplantae; Streptophyta; Magnoliopsida; Solanales; Solanaceae.